AUUGAACGCUGGCGGUAGGCCUAACACAUGCAAGUCGAACGCGAAAGUCCUUCGGAGUGAGUAGAGUGGCGGACGGGUGGAGUAACGCGUAGGAAUCUAUCCUGUAGUGGGGGAUAACGUUUCGAAAGGAACGCUAAUACCGCAUACGCCCCAAGGGGGAAAGCGGGGGAGUCUUCGGACCUCGUUGCUAUAGGAGGAGCCUGCGUCGGAUUAGCUAGUUGGUGAGGUAAAGGCUCACCAAGGCGACGAUCCGUAGCUGGUCUGAGAGGAUGAUCAGCCACACCGGAACUGAGACACGGUCCGGACUCCUACGGGAGGCAGCAGUGGGGAAUAUUGCGCAAUGGGCGAAAGCCUGACGCAGCCAUUACCGCGUGUGUGAAGAAGG
RNAcentral lists this ribosomal RNA (385 nucleotides) under uncultured bacterium. RNAcentral's name for it is "bacterial SSU rRNA". It matches the Rfam family "Bacterial small subunit ribosomal RNA", at positions 30 to 414 of the family's 1533-position model. The record is from RNAcentral.